RNAcentral lists this ribosomal RNA (842 nucleotides) under uncultured archaeon. RNAcentral describes it as "bacterial SSU rRNA". It matches the Rfam family "Archaeal small subunit ribosomal RNA", at positions 63 to 910 of the family's 1478-position model. The record is from RNAcentral.
UGUAGCAAUACAAGGCAGACGGCUCAGUAACGCGUAGUCAACCUACCCUAUGGACGGGAAUAACCUCGGGAAACUGAGUAUAAUGCCCGAUAGAACACUAUACCUGGAAUGGUUUGUGUUCCAAAUGAUUUAUCGCCAUAGGAUGGGACUGCGGCCUAUCAGUUUGUUGGUGAGGUAAUGGCCCACCAGGACUAUUACAGGUACGGGCUCUGAGAGGAGUGGCCCGGAGAUGGGUACUGAGACACGGACCCAGGCCCUAUGGGGCGCAGCAGGCGAGAAAACUUUGCAAUGUGCGAAAGCACGACAAGGUUAAUCCGAGUGGUUUCUGCUAAAGGAACCUUUUGUCAGUCCUAGAAACACUAACGAAUAAGGGGUGGGCAAGUUCUGGUGUCAGCCGCCGCGGUAAAACCAGCACCUCAAGUGGUCAGGAUGAUUAUUGGGCCUAAAGCAUCCGUAGCCGGCUCUGUAAGUUUUCGGUUAAAUCUGUACGCUUAACGUACAGGCUGCCGGGAAUACUGUAGAGCUAGGGAGUGGGAGAGGUAGACGGUACUCGGUAGGAAGGGGUAAAAUCCUUUGAUCUAUUGAUGACCACCUGUGGCGAAGGCGGUCUACCAGAACACGUCCGACGGUGAGGGAUGAAAGCUGGGGGAGCAAACCGGAUUAGAUACCCGGGUAGUCCCAGCUGUAAACUAUGCAAACUCAGUGAUGCAUUGGCUUGUGGCCAAUGCAGUGCUGCAGGGAAGCCGUUAAGUUUGCCGCCUGGGAAGUACGUACGCAAGUAUGAAACUUAAAGGAAUUGGCGGGGGAGCACCACAAGGGGUGAAGCCUGCGGUUCAAUUGGA